CACCGCGGUUAUACGAGAGGCCCAAAUUGAUAGCAACGGCGUAAAGGGUGGUUAGAUCUUACAAUAUUACUAGGACCGAACUUAUCCCAAACUGUUAUACGUUUGCGGAAUAAUGAAGCCCAUAAACGAAAGUAGUCCUAACUAAUUGAAGCCACGAAAGCUAGGAAA
Molecule: ribosomal RNA, 168 nt
Filed under: Neosynchiropus morrisoni
Lineage: Eukaryota; Metazoa; Chordata; Actinopteri; Syngnathiformes; Callionymidae
Description: partial 12S rRNA
Source: RNAcentral